CAUAGUGUAGCUUAACAUAAAGCAUCUGGCCUACACCCAGAAGAAUCCAUAACACAUGGACACUUUGA
This 68-nucleotide transfer RNA is filed under the name Arvicanthis niloticus (Nile rat). Its description in RNAcentral is "tRNA-Val". It matches the Rfam family "tRNA". Rfam says of the family: Transfer RNA (tRNA) molecules are approximately 80 nucleotides in length. Their secondary structure includes four short double-helical elements and three loops (D, anti-codon, and T loops). Lineage: Eukaryota; Metazoa; Chordata; Mammalia; Rodentia; Muridae. The record is from RNAcentral.